This 498-nucleotide ribosomal RNA is filed under the name uncultured bacterium. Its description in RNAcentral is "partial 16S ribosomal RNA". It matches the Rfam family "Bacterial small subunit ribosomal RNA", at positions 28 to 507 of the family's 1533-position model. The record is from RNAcentral.
GACGAACGCUGGCGGCGUGCCUAAUACAUGCAAGUCGAACGAGAGCGACCGGUGCUUGCACUGGUCAAUCUAGUGGCGAACGGGUGAGUAACACGUGGGUAACCUGCCCAUCAGAGGGGGAUAACAUCCGGAAACGGAUGCUAAAACCGCAUAGGUCUUCGAACCGCAUGGUUUGAAGAGGAAAAGAGGCGCAAGCUUCUGCUGAUGGAUGGACCCGCGGUGCAUUAGCUAGUUGGUGAGGUAACGGCCCACCAAGGCCGUGAUGCAUAGCCGACCUGAGAGGGUGAUCGGCCACAUUGGGACUGAGACACGGCCCAAACUCCUACGGGAGGCAGCAGUAGGGAAUCUUCCGCAAUGGACGCAAGUCUGACGGAGCAACGCCGCGUGAGUGAAGAAGGUUUUCGGAUCGUAAAACUCUGUUGUUAGAGAAGAACAAGUGCUAGAGUAACUGUUAGCGCCUUGACGGUAUCUAACCAGAAAGCCACGGCUAACUACGUG